This 553-nucleotide long non-coding RNA is filed under the name Rosa chinensis. RNAcentral describes it as "sRNA RchiOBHm_Chr5g0004381". Lineage: Eukaryota; Viridiplantae; Streptophyta; Magnoliopsida; Rosales; Rosaceae. The record is from RNAcentral.
CCGCCUCGACGUCUGCCACUGUGGUUGGCAGGAGAUUAUCCACUAAAGACCACUCGCUGGCCCUUGGAUCGACUUCGUCUCAGAGCGUGCAUCUCGUGUUGGAAGAAGUUCUGGUGCAGCGCUUCGCCGGAUCGAACCUCGCUAGCGAGGCUCAGGCCACCUGUAUUCAGCGAGCUCUGCUUCUUGAGAUAAUGUUCCUUGCGAGCGUUCGCUUCACUUGAUCAGUGCUCGCGAAGUGUUCCUUGCUAGAAUUUGCUUCGCAGCCGCUCACUUCGCUCGCGGCCAGUCUCUGAUGUCCUCGCGACCAUCUCGCUUAGCGGCCAUCUCUUCGCGGCCGCUCGCUUGCUGGCAGUCUUUGCGGUCAUCUGCUUUCGCUCGCGACCAUCUCCUGCUUAGCGGUCACUUGCUCACAGCCACUCGCUCUCGCGGCCAGUCGCUUGCACCCAUUUGCUCGCGGCCCCUCGCUCUUCACGGUCGCCUGCUUUCGCUAGUGGGGAAUUGGCUUCGCGGCCGCUCGCGGCCAUUCGCUGAGUCGCUCGCUUAUGCGCCGUAU